Molecule: long non-coding RNA, 354 nt
Filed under: Brassica napus (rape)
Lineage: Eukaryota; Viridiplantae; Streptophyta; Magnoliopsida; Brassicales; Brassicaceae
Description: long non-coding RNA (BNAP_LNC025259)
Source: RNAcentral
AGGAUUUUCGGGUGGUAAUUCCGUCGUAACCGUUUUUGACCCCAACAGUUAGCCCCCCAACCCGUUAGGAUCAUGCAUCGUAGGAUCCUAGCGUGCGGUUAGGCAUGUUUGGCAAGUUAGGCGUGAUGGAUGGAAUUAAUAUCCGAAAGUCCGAGCUUGAAUAGUAAAUCCUCAUGUCUUAUAAGAAGAGAGGUAACUUGUUCCAUAAUUUUUUCACUUUCUUGUUUUUCUCUAAGAUCUUUCAAAAAAACUUUCUAUCUUUCUCUCCACCCUUUUCCUCUAUUCUCUCAAGAGAAGUGUAAAGAUGUCGAGCAAGAAAAAGAUUGCGAAAAAAGGGUCUUCGUCCGCGAGUCC